GUAACUUUAAGGAAUAAACUGUACUUAUUGGCUACACCAAAAACUCUGAAAAUUUUAUGGUAAGAAAACAUGUGAGUCUAGUUUCAAGUAAAAUUAGCUGAUCUUAAUUUGGAGUUCCGUAGCUCCAGAUAUAAAUAAUUUAGUAACUAUGACAUGCAAAAAUAGCUUGACUGGAACAUAAGUAAAAAUGCAAAUAGGAUUGUAUUACCUUGAGAAGCAAGUUGAUAAAUUGCUUAUUAUUUUCAUACGGUCUUACUAAGCUUUAAGCUUACUCCCUCCUCU
Molecule: long non-coding RNA, 282 nt
Filed under: Gossypium barbadense (sea-island cotton)
Lineage: Eukaryota; Viridiplantae; Streptophyta; Magnoliopsida; Malvales; Malvaceae
Description: long non-coding RNA (GBAR_LNC012334)
Source: RNAcentral